UACGGGGGGGGCAAGCGUUGUUCGGAAUUACUGGGCGUAAAGGGCUCGUAGGCGGCCAACUAAGUCAGACGUGAAAUCCCUCGGCUUAACCGGGGAACUGCGUCUGAUACUGGAUGGCUAGAGGUUGGGAGAGGGAUGCGGAAUUCCAGGUGUAGCGGUGAAAUGCGUAGAUAUCGAGAGGAACACCUGCGGCGAAGGCGGGUUGCUGGGCUGAUACUGACGCUGAGGCGCGAAAGCGUGGGUAGCAAACAGG
RNAcentral lists this ribosomal RNA (253 nucleotides) under uncultured bacterium. Its description in RNAcentral is "partial 16S ribosomal RNA". It matches the Rfam family "Bacterial small subunit ribosomal RNA", at positions 524 to 776 of the family's 1533-position model. The record is from RNAcentral.